Molecule: transfer RNA, 74 nt
Filed under: Alosa alosa (allis shad)
Lineage: Eukaryota; Metazoa; Chordata; Actinopteri; Clupeiformes; Clupeidae
Description: tRNA-OTHER
Source: RNAcentral
GCAGCUGUGGCCUACUGGUUAGGGCUUUGGACUUGGAACUAAAGGGUUGCAGGUUCGGUCCCCGACCAGUAGGA